This is a non-coding RNA of Pelobates cultripes (western spadefoot toad), 317 nucleotides long. Lineage: Eukaryota; Metazoa; Chordata; Amphibia; Anura; Pelobatidae. The record is from the annotation of a GenBank genome assembly.
CACACACUCACAGACACACACUGACACACACUCACAGACUCACACACACAUACUCACACACUCACAGACACACACUGACACACACACUGACACACACUCACACACACACAGACACACACACACACACACACACACACACACACACACACACACACACACACACACACACACACACACACACACACACACACACACUCACACACACACACUGACACAUACUCACACACUCACUGACACACACACUCACAGACACAUACUCACACACUCACAGACACACACUGACACAUACUCACACACUCACUGACACACACACUCAC